GUUCUUAUACUAUAAAUUGUAAUUAAAACAAUAAGCAUCUCCCCCACCGUUCCCAAUAAGUAUGAUAAAAAUUUGAAACUCAAACAACUUCUCUAACACUCUAACUAAAAACAUCUCCAAGACAAAACCCCUCUCACGUCAAUACAUAAUCCAACCAUCCAUUGACCCUAACAACACCAUUUUCGUCUCAAAGCAAAUGUAAUGUAACUCCAAAAUCAUUCUCAUUUUUACUUUUUCACGUUUUUUCUCUGUUAUAACAAUUCAUAAUGUUUCCGAAGGAUACUUUCGAUACAAUGGAAAAAUCACAUCAUGACGGGUCAAUUUUAUAGUUUAAUUUAUAGCAGAACUCCCAAUUAAGAUGACACCGGACGUAGCAAAACCAGUUGUUGAGGAACUUGAUUUUGUGAAGAACUUUUUCACUAAAAAGAAAUUUACCUCCCGUGAUGAUUUGUUGGAUUGGGGUCAUUGUGAAGCGACUAAGUUAUGUUUUGCUAUAAUUAUUUCAAAGUCUUAUCUUGGUUUUAAUCAAAGAAAACAAUUUCUUAUAUUAAGGUGUGAAAGGGGUGGUGUGAUAUAAAAAAAAUACAAAGUUGAACCACAAUGACACAUGAACGAGAAAUGUGAGUGUCUAUUAAGGUUGAAUGAUUAUAUCUAAUGUUCGGAAGUUUGGAAAACACAUCAACUUGUUAAAUGGUUAUAUCUAAAGUUAGAAGGUCAUCUUGUUGUCGUUCGUCUAUAUGUGGAUGAUAAGAACUUGUUAGUGAGAUCAGAAUGAACAUGUUUGUGAGUUUGGGAGGGGGGUGAUUAUUGAUAAGCUCGUUAGACCAUCUUUUUAGCGCAUAAUAAAACGUAUCGAUCUCACAGAGACAUGUUGAAUAUCAAAUGUGUUUUUUAUGUUGUUAAGCUAGAAAAUAUUUAAUAUUUGGGAGUUUAAUGAUUUUUCAUUUUUAAAAAAAUAUAUGAUAAAAUAAACGACUUGGAAUUAUAUAUUCAUCACAAUAAUAAAAAAAAUCUAACCUCAAUUCUUCCUAUUGGAAAUCAAAGUCUAUAGGUGAUGUAAGCUAAAGUGACUAAUGUUAUUUUUCAAGGGUGGAAAAGUGUAUUUUAAAUCAAUAUACCUUCCUAUUUGCAUGGCUUGUUAUAUUACCAAAAUCUAUUAAGUUCAAUUACCCUAUAUCGCCUCAA
This 1185-nucleotide long non-coding RNA is filed under the name Medicago truncatula (barrel medic). RNAcentral's name for it is "long non-coding RNA (MTRU_LNC004353)". The record is from RNAcentral. Lineage: Eukaryota; Viridiplantae; Streptophyta; Magnoliopsida; Fabales; Fabaceae.